UGAGAUGUAGCUCACUGGUGGAGUGCUUGCUUAGCAUACUUAAGACCCUGGGUUUGAUUCCCCAGCAUUUCAA
This 73-nucleotide transfer RNA is filed under the name Marmota monax (woodchuck). It matches the Rfam family "tRNA". Rfam says of the family: Transfer RNA (tRNA) molecules are approximately 80 nucleotides in length. Their secondary structure includes four short double-helical elements and three loops (D, anti-codon, and T loops). The record is from Rfam by way of RNAcentral. Lineage: Eukaryota; Metazoa; Chordata; Mammalia; Rodentia; Sciuridae. RNAcentral also lists the same sequence under 2 other names.